Acanthopagrus latus (yellowfin seabream) is the source of this 7397-nucleotide long non-coding RNA. RefSeq lists it as uncharacterized. NCBI's taxonomy places the organism in Eukaryota, Metazoa, Chordata, Actinopteri, Spariformes, Sparidae. The transcript has 8 exons. The record is from RefSeq and is a predicted model, not a curated record.
AAAAGAAAAAGAAAGAAAGAAAGAAAGAAAGAAAGAAAGAAAGAAAGAAAGAAAGAUAUUCAUAAUUGUUCUACUGUCCUGUGUUAAUGUUGUUUUGUGAUCCAGCACAUGAAUGUUUUACAUUUUUUGUUUGACAAGUACUAGUUGUUAACCUAAAGAGGAGGAGAUGUGGUAUCACAGCUAAUCAUUUGAUGUUUGCAUACUUAAUAUUGACAUGGAUUACAGUGAUACUCCCUGCAGAGAGCAUCUUGUGUUAUGUUAAAGUAUUUAUAAGGGUCCAGCAGAGGGUGGACUGAGACCAUUUAAGAGGGCAAGGUUCAUGUUAUGCUUGCAGUAGAAAUAGAAGGCUGACAGCACGUAGCCAGAGUUGUACAUGUGACAUGCUGCAAGUGGUUCAGUAAAAGACCUUUUGGAAAGACCGUUCCCGUGUGGACAGUGGAUUAUUUAUGAAGAUACAACACUUACCUUGCCAUGUCUCCAAAGCCAUCACUCUCAACCACACUGUAAGGUCGUAAGUCCUUCGCAAUAAAACGGGCUAUAGAUACAGAUACCUUGGACCUUGCCAAGUUGUGGCUAAAAUGUGGUUGGAAAAAGUCUUUAAUUGCCAUGUUGUUGUCUUGUGUGUUCUUGCUUGUAUUAGCUGUAACGUUACUAAUGCUAGCAUCCACAGACUCCUCGUCACCCACGUAGUUUUCUCCAUGCCGUCUCACCAGGUGAGCUACCGCUGUACUUAAUAGUUGUUCUACAGACCUUACACACUUUUGUCCAAAUGCCUUCUUAUAAAAUCCAAUUCUCUUCCAAACUUUAGAUUUCAGAUUAGCUGGUGCACUGUAAAUGUGGUGGUGUUGGAGUUGUUGGACAUGUUGUUGUUGUUGUUCUUGUGUUUUUUUCCCUCGGAUACGCUAACGUUACUCUUGCGAGAAUCUCAUGUUGGCCCUUUAUUACUCUUGCCAGUAUCUCGCGUUGACCUUUUAUUAUUCUUGCAAGAAUCUCACGUUGACCUGUAACCUUUUACAAGAGUUCAGAGAUGCUCUGCAGAAGCAGCAAAGCUUCAGUCAACAGAUACAUAACUAGAAUUGAGCCACUGACCAGUUAAUGGUAAAUUUAAAUUGAUGUAGUCGCAUCUUUAACGUUAAAACCGGUUACCGAUUCAUAUCGGUGAAUCUAUACACCCCUAAUUUAAACACAUUAUUGAUUGGACCACAUCACAUAGCCAAUCUGACAUUCCAUAGUAAGCAGAUGUAUUUUAAUAACAUUAAUGAUAGCUCCAUACCAUGUAGUAGUGACUCAUACUUGUCAGAACCAUCUGAACCAUCAGAACAGACUGCUCUUGCAUCAGAGAAGGAUCAUGAGACCAUGCUUCUAGAAAUGCAAAAGAGAUUAAGAUUUACAGCUCCUGGAUAAACUGAUGACUGCAACAUUCUCAUGGUGACAAAAAGAGAUCAUCAGCGAUGAGCCACCCGUGUCUGCAAUCAUGGACAGAUGGCCUACAUUGUUUAGUAAGAGACAGGUAAUCAACUUCAGCAUAGAAAUACUGUAUUUUUUUAGUAAAGCAUUGCUGUAAUCAGAAUAUACUCUUUGUUACAGUUAUAUUUGUGAUUUCUUGUGUUUCCACCCCUACUCUGAAAUUCAAUACUUCUGUUUUUGUAACUCAUUUUCUGUCACUAAUGUCCUUUUGCAUGCUAUUUUGUCAUCUGUAUGUUUCAGCUAAGUGCCAAAUUCAGUAGACUUGUCACUUAAGACCUGCUGGAAUCAUUUGUGGGUGGACUAGAUGCCUUGGUGCCCAGGCUUUUGGCACUGUACAAAGAUGCUGCAUAAAAAGUUCGACCCUGAGCAGUGAUUUGAGUGUCUUCAAAAGGAGGUAUUAAUUGUGUGGAAAAACCUCUAAUGUGUAUGUAUUUGGGUAAUGCAGUCACCUACUCUUGCCUGUUUUUGUUUUUCUGUAGGGCACAAAACAGAACAGAAGAUCAGGGGGGUAUUCCAGAAUGCGGGUUUUGUUAGCCCUGAGAUGAGAAAAACUCUGAGUUUUCAGUUCCAGAAAGAGAGGUAACUUAAACUCUGGGUCUGUUACUGCAGUAACUUACUCUGUGAACAUAACCUGCUCACUGGCAGGUUUAUCUGAAGAAACCCUGAGUCUCACGGAGCUGUCUGACAGCGGCUGUCCUUUCCUUCCCAAUCAUGUUGAAGCAGAAAUAAUUCACAUUCAUUUAGAUGAGCUCUCACUUCCUAAUGAGGACUGAACCGAACAGCAGUCUAUCAUUUAUAUUCUCCGGCCGCACAGCGAAUAUCAGGCUACAUGUCAUCGCUGACGUGCUCUCAGAUCUGAACAAUCCUCUUUGUUUAAUAAAUAAAUAAAUAAAUAAUCACUUUGCAGGUUAAUCAAUCACCUUCCAGCAGCCAGAAAAAGAGAAUUAACUCACAUUUAAUUUGGCUUUCUUUAUUUCCCACAGAUAGCUACAAAAGUAACCAUCAGUAUAGCCUAUUGUAUUUUUUCCAACGUAAUUUCAAAGUCUGUGUUUCUAGUUUACUGCCGCAUUGAGUAUAAGAUUAAAUGACUUCUAGUUCAAUCUGUAGACAGUCAGUGUUUGUCUGUCUCUUAUGUUGGGUCCUGGAGGUGAGUGACGCCCUCAGCCUCUGGUUACUCAGCAACCUGACUCAGGACGAGCUCCUCAACUACUAAGCAGGAUGCUAGGGGACAGAUGUGUGUUAAACAUUACAUGUUGGUGGUAAAAGCUACUACAAGUUAAAAUAUCCACUGAAUAAAGUUUUACUAUGUUUAAUAUGUGAAAUAAAAUCAAAGCAAGGAGCCAUUGCGAGACUGUUUUUAUAUUACUUUUUCAGCUGAAUUCAAUUAAAUAAAAUAGCCUAAAAUAAAAUAAAACAAAACACAGAACAACAUUCAACCAUUUCCUUAAGGAUUAAUAUAAAUAAAAGUGAUGUUAAAUCCAAAAUGAAAAGACAACUGCAUCUACAACUCUGUCAGUGAUUUUUAUUAUGGACACAGCUGUGUUACUUUUUUUUCCCUAGAAAAUGUCUGUUUCCUGUUUUCGCCCCUGUUGCCAUGGUGAAUCACAGUAUCGGAGAUCCAUUGAUGAUGGCUUUUUACUAGUUGUCAGGCACGAGCUCAACUCAGAGUUAACAUACUCAGAGUCGACUUACCUAACUCAGAUCAGCUGUUCUGGAACUGAAAACUCAGAAUUUCACUUCACAGGGUAAGUCAACUCAGAGUUCAGGGUUAGACUCAGAGUUUGUUGAACCUGCUUUCUGGAAUACCCCCCAGCUGCCUCGAUUUGUCUUUCACAUCAUCUUUCAGACGAGUCCUCUUAACAUAAUCAGGAAGUGUGAUAUAAGACACUUUAUUUACACUACAUUUCAUACUACACUUCUUUUAAGCUGAAAUGUGAAUAAUGUAAAUAAUUGUAUGGUCAUCACAGGUGUUGCCUAACUGAAGCCACACUCCUGUUUAUGUAAACUGUGUAAACAUUCUUACUAUUGGAUGAGAUAGUUAUGGCAGUGCUAACUGAAGAGCAGCAGUGUUGGCAAUAGCAAAAGUAGUAUGAGCACUGUAUUACUUCCACAACAACAUUGUACCACAACCAGUCCUCUCACUCAUACACAUGCCUAUUCUCAAGCAAAACUCUUGACACAUUAGCUGCAGAGUUAUAUUAUUUAUACAUAACAGAGAACUUUAUUUACUUGGCAAUUUGGGGAGUGUAAUUUACAUGAAAUGUGUUUGAAAUUAGUUCUAAGUUAACAUUUUGCAGUCUAUUUAUUAGAAUGCCAGUGAUAGUUUAAACUUAGAGAUGUUAAAUGUAUAUUAGUUGUGCAUUGUAUGUCUUCAUAUGUCUUUAGGCACAUGGAGAAACCCUUUGACAUGAUGAUGAAAGGAAUGCAAGUUGGACUGUUGGACACAAAGGCCCCCUGCAUGAUGCAUUUUCUUUGGAAAUCUUUAAUUUGGCUGUGGUUGUAGAGGUGAAGAUCAUCCUGCAUGAUCUGAGAGAUGUCUCCACAGGCUUUGCCAUGUUAAUGGGCGCAAACUACUGCCUGAACCUUGUAAACCCCUUCCUUCAGAAGUGAAAACCUUAACUGUUUUCAACUGAAGAAACAUUGAGUUGGAAGUUAUAGUUUUAUGAAGCUACAAGAUUCCACAUUUUGUCUCAUGUUCAGUUACCAAAUUAACACAUUGCUGUGUGAGUGGUUAUGCUGUACAUCUUUCUAGUUGAUACUGAUAUUUUAUGAAUCUAUUAUUUCAUAUUUUGCCACAAUAUACAACUCCUGCCUAUCUGUCGUCCUUUCUGUACCAAACCCAGUUAUCAGCAUCUGUGAGGCCCAUGGUUUUUUAUAUAACUGUUCUGGUUAGGGCACGUUUAAAAAGCACUAGCGUGCAAAAUAAUUGUCGUUGUGUCAAGAUAUUUAUGAGCCGGUUAUCACUGUCUGACAUGUGCCUCACUGUACAGCUCCACACCACCUUUGUCUGUCUCUUUCUCUCUUUCUACAGCUACAUCUUUUGUUUCUGUCUACAACAUUGUGUAGGGGAAACACUGUAAAUCCAAACAAAGUCCUGACUAAAGAUGAAAUAGUGCAUUUAACUUAAUUCAUACUAGUUUUUUAAGUUUACUUUCUUACACCGAGUUUUCUGCACUUUUUACCUGCAUAUUUGUUUUCAUUACGUUAUAUGACCUUGAUUUUUCUGAGUGAGUGACGUGGUUUGUGGUAUGAGACUUAAGUUACAGAGCUGCGCAUCUCAGUGCGCAUGUCCAUUUCCGGUUAGCGCGCAUCUACCACUGAAAGUAAACUCAAGCAAGCGGUCAACGCCAUUACUGUCACGGAACGUAGGCUCCAGCAUUGGUUUCGGUGGUGUAAGACCCUACAUACUAAAACCAACAAACCAACACAGAAGAAAGGAGACAAUCCUACCUUAGGUGGUGUCUCUGGCAGUGAAGUUGGUGGCAGUUAGAAAAAAGGCUCCCUCGGUCACUAAGACUGUGUUGGCCACCAGGGUACCAGAUAACCAUCUUACCCAGCCAGACCAGUUCAGCAGCCGUGGCUAUUUCGUCUCACUGUACCUGCUCCCUCACUGCUGCUUCGUUGACAAGAAGCUUUCUCAGUAGACUGGACCACAAUCCUUUCCGGACUAUGGAACAGAAAUAGCCAAUCAGAGUCGUUGUCACUGAUUGUGAAAUUAGAAGAAUCAGUCUUGAUCAGAAACCAGGCAACCUUGAGUCUCUUUUGGAACUCUUGAAAGUUAAACUGGCACUGCCAUAUGAUUUCAAACUACAGUUUGAAGACCUACUGUUUAACAAUGCACUCUGCAAUCUGACAGAUGUGUCAGAACUGCCAGAUCGAGCCACGCUGAAAAUUAUAAGUCUUGAGUCCCUCCCUUCCUCACAGAGCACAUCUGAUAAAGAGAUACUGUAUAUAAGUGAAGAAAAAUCCCAGUUGAUGAGGCCGGAUCCUUGGCCAUUUGCAUUUGAUAUUCCAGAAUUCUUUGUGGAUGUAAAUUUCCAACUGAGCCAAGGAGACCUUGCCUAUAUGAAGGAUGGAACUCGGAUGGAUGUUUCUCAGGACAUGAAACACGUGAUCUUAGAAAGACUUGCAGAGGCCAUGUACAAGUACACAGCAUAUCCCACAGAGGAACACUGUCAAGAAGUGGCCUCUGCACUGAUUGCAAAACAUCCCUGUCCGAAAGAAGUUGGAUCACCCACUGGAUACUGUGGAUGGAAAAAUAGCAUUAAUUUUAAGAUGGGGAAUUUCCGUACGAAAAUGAGGAGAUCUGGAGUGGCCAAUGUCACGGUGAAUGGCAACAAGAGGACUAGGGAUUUCCCUGAAGGAGCGCCAUCAUGUAGUAACCUAAAAAGGCCAAAAAGACGAGAGACAAAUUUCUUGCCAAAUUUUCCUGAUGGUGAAAAAGCAGAUACUCUUGAGUCUGUUAGAAGACAUCUUGAAAGUGAAGCAAAGAAAAGGCUUCCGGACUCAGCCAAUGUGAAGAAAAUGAUGGACCAGAAAUUUUCUUUUGGGCGUAAAGAAAUCGUGGAAGAACAGCCUACAGUUAAAAGGAUGAUGGAACGCUGGACUGCCCUGUUCACAGAAAGUCAGGAUUCGGACACUGCAGAUAACUUCACCCAGGUGCCUGUUGGGGUUCUUACAGUCACGACUGAGGACACGCCACCAGAGAUUAACAGCAUUACAAUCAUUCUUGAAGGAAACAUUGUCAUGGAUGAGAUUCCCCCAACCUCUCAAGCACUUUUUCUUCUGUUCAGCUUAAUAUAUGCACUCCAUCUGGAUUACCCAAAAGGCACUUGGUGCCCUACGCGCUGUGCGUAAUGUGCUUGUGCGGAGCUACGGCGCUGCCGCCGGACAACAAACUGUGGCGCAACUGUACAUGUUCGAGCCGGAGUCCGACCCAGAACAACAAGAGGCUCCAGAAGAAGUUCAGCAGCCAAGAAGGAACAUGGAUGUUUCUCAGUGAUCACAACCCCCUUCUCCUGCCUCGAGUGUUUACAUAACAAAGCCAAACCUCAACUGGCGUUUACUGCUCUGAAGUUGCAGUAACCCCCGCGACCCUGCAGAGGAUUAAGCGGCGUACAUCGAAUAUGUACAGAUGAUGGAUGGAUGGAUGGAUGGAAGUUGCAGUAACGCGGAUGCAAUUUAGCAACUGCCGUUACGAGAGAAAGGCGUAACCCCGUAUUAUUAUUUACCUUUAUGUGGCCAGGUAAGUCAAUUGAGAACCUGCUCUUAUUUGCAGGGACGACCUGUAAUUAGCUAGCAAUGUCCAACAACUGUAGUUUUCAAUAAGCCACAGUUGCCUCCCGUCACCUCUCUACCAGCAGUAUUGUUUUUGAACUGGUUCCAACAGUUUAUAUACUUUAAAUAUUACAAAAGAAACAAUGCAAUGUGAUUGGUUGGCUAUGUAGUUUCCAAUGAAUGAUAUAAAUUCUGCUUAAAAACAGGUGUUCCUGUGGCAGUUGUGAACAAGUGCCUACAGAGCCCGAGAAUAUCUGUUGUAUUGAAAUACCACAGGUAAGUGUGAACACUGGGCAAACAAGGUUGUUAUUUUGCAGUCUCUUUUCUUUAAUCCAUUGUCACUCACUUACCUUUCAUAACUUCUAGGUUACACAAAGACUAAGUUACAGCAGCUUCCUGAGCAACCAUCAUGCAUGCUGGACCAUCCUGGCCUAGAACCUGUCUGCCUGAACGUGUUUUCACUGCACAAUGCACUGAACAUUUAUCGGGCAGACUACGGACCUUUACGUCUGAGGGGAAUAGUGCACCAACAUAGAUACCUAGCCUACAGAAGCUUUGUAAGCUGGUGCUGGUGCUUUCUGGGGCGGAGAGUGAGAGCUGUGCUGCCUGCCUGUGUGGUGCUGAGGAUUCAUGCAGAGUUCCCUGACGCUGCA